GGGGAUGUAGCUCAGUGGUAGAGUGCUUGCCUAGCAUGCAAGAACUUGGUUGGGUUUUUAUCUCCA
RNAcentral lists this transfer RNA (66 nucleotides) under Ictidomys tridecemlineatus (thirteen-lined ground squirrel). RNAcentral describes it as "Spermophilus tridecemlineatus (thirteen-lined ground squirrel) tRNA". It matches the Rfam family "tRNA". From Rfam's summary of the family: Transfer RNA (tRNA) molecules are approximately 80 nucleotides in length. Their secondary structure includes four short double-helical elements and three loops (D, anti-codon, and T loops). Further hydrogen bonds mediate the characteristic L-shaped molecular structure. tRNAs have two regions of fundamental functional importance: the anti-codon, which is responsible for specific mRNA codon recognition, and the 3' end, to which the tRNAs corresponding amino acid is attached (by aminoacyl-tRNA synthetases). tRNAs cope with the degeneracy of the genetic code in two manners: having more than one tRNA (with a specific anti-codon) for a particular amino acid; and 'wobble' base-pairing, i.e. permitting non-standard base-pairing at the 3rd anti-codon position. The record is from Rfam by way of RNAcentral. Lineage: Eukaryota; Metazoa; Chordata; Mammalia; Rodentia; Sciuridae.